Molecule: small RNA, 73 nt
Filed under: Vibrio cholerae O1 biovar El Tor str. N16961
Lineage: Bacteria; Pseudomonadati; Pseudomonadota; Gammaproteobacteria; Vibrionales; Vibrionaceae
Source: RNAcentral
AGUCUCCGUCCAAGACCGUAGGCGUUAUCCUCGGAUAACUUAAUAAAACCUACGUAGAUGGUGCCCGAACUGA